CCAUUGUGCGUUGUCUUGUAUUAAUGUUGUGACCUGCUGUUGAAUACACAACCUCUACCAUGAGCCCAGCAGUUUCACGGCUCCACUGUCUUCGUCAGGGUGACAGGCCUAUAGAGGAUUACUUGCCUGGGGGAAAGAUUUGUUGGUCACUGGAGAGAUAUAUUGACUACGCUUUGUUGCUGGCUGGUUCACCCCUUACCCGUUGGGAUGGCUGAUGAGGAACCCUGUAAUUUUGCACUACCAUCCGCACCAGAGCACUUUCACAUCCCAACUGUUAUGUCUGGAUUUAUUCAUGUCAUCAGAGUCUAUGAAGCCUGCUUGCAUCAUGCCUGCCAAGCCAGAGUCUGCUCACGUCAUGCCUGCUACUCCAGGACCUGCUCACCACAUGCCAGUUAAGUCACAGUUUACUCAUAUCAUGUCUACCAAGUCACAGCCUGAUCACAUCAUGUCUGCCAAGCCAAAGUCCGCUAACAUCAUGUCUGCUACCCCAGGGUUUGUUCACAUCACGCCUGAUGCGUCAAGUUCUCUUCACAUCACGUCUGCCAAGCCAAAGCCUGCUCACAUCAUGCUAGUGACUCAGGAGAUUCUUCACAAUAUGGCCACCACACAAAAGUAUCUUAACAAAAUGGCCGCCCUUCUAGAGUCUCAUCAUGUCUCAGCUAAUGUUCCAGAGUCUCGUCCCAUCAUGGCUGCCAUUUCAGAGUCUGGUCAUUCCACGCCUGAAGUCCCCGGCCAAGAUGGCCGCCACGCCUGAAGUCCCCGGCCAAGAUGGCCGCCACGCCUGAAGUCCCCGGCCAAGAUGGCCGCCACGCCUGAAGUCCCCGGCCAAGAUGGCCGCCACGCCUGAGUCUCGCCAUGUCAUGGCAGUCACAGAGACUGUUCCCGUGACCUCUGUGCUUCCUGUAAUGGCGGUUGCCAUUUUGAGCAUGUGGGCUGCACACUGCACUCCGGAGGCCUCUCCGGUCCACGAGUCUGCUCCGGAGGCCUCUCCUGUCCACGAGUCUGCCUCGGAGGCCUCUCUUGUUAAAGAUACUGCCCCAGAGGUGGCGGCAUCCGCUGCGGUGGGCGCUUCGGAACUCAAUGUCUGCCUUGUCACGGCCACAGAGGUCGUUCACAAACUCUCUGCCUGUCCUGUCACAGCCAAGGAGGCCAUACAAGAACUUUCUGCCUGCUCCGUCACAGCCAAGUGGUCCGUCCAUGUCUCUGCUCUGCCUUGGCUUCCUGCUCUGCCAGUACCAAUCGGCCAUCCUGCUCUGCCUGCUCCGCCAUGGCUCCCCGCUAGGCCUGCUCAACCAUGGUUCCAUACUGCUCUGCAUCUGCUCCACGGCCCAGGUCCCCCUGUACUCCAUUGUCUGUCAUUUACUCAUGAUCCUGAUCCACUACUUCUCCUAGCUCCAGGCCCGCCUUUGCUCCACACUCCAGAUCCUGUUCCUCUUCAUGGGCUUGGCCCUCCAUCCCACCCCCUGGACUUUUGUUGUUUUGUGUGGUUUAGGUGUCUGGAGCUGCCUUCUUGAGGAGGGAGGGGGAGGGGUGUAAGGUCUGUUUCAAGUUUUUUCGUGUACAUUGUUUUCAUGUCUUAUUUUGUAGUUUGUGUCAUGCUUUCCUUGCCCUCUUGUCUUCAUGCUAUUGGUUCCUCUUGUUCAUUGUGUCAUCUUCUGAUUGGUUGUCUUAGUCAUGUGUCUUGUUCCCCAUUGGUUUGUUCUUGUCAUGUGACCUGUAUUGUUUGUUAUAAGUAGUCAUGUUUUUGCCAUUGUGCCUUUGUCGUGUGUUAAUGUUGUAGCCUGCUGUUGGUGAGUCUAGUCUGUUUCUGUCAAGUCUGUUCAAGUCUAGUCAAGUCUUUGUUUCUUGUUUGGAUGUUUUGGAUUACACCUUGUAAAUGAACUGCACUUGGGUUCUCACUACACUUGCCUUCAGUGGACAGAUCAUUACAAUUAUGUGACAUA
Cyprinus carpio (common carp) is the source of this 1943-nucleotide long non-coding RNA. RefSeq lists it as uncharacterized. NCBI's taxonomy places the organism in Eukaryota, Metazoa, Chordata, Actinopteri, Cypriniformes, Cyprinidae. The transcript is spliced from 3 exons. The record is from RefSeq and is a predicted model, not a curated record.